Long non-coding RNA from Culex quinquefasciatus (southern house mosquito), 313 nucleotides. RefSeq lists it as uncharacterized. The record is from RefSeq and is a predicted model, not a curated record. The transcript has 2 exons. NCBI's taxonomy places the organism in Eukaryota, Metazoa, Arthropoda, Insecta, Diptera, Culicidae.
CUCACGGUGCAUGCACAUCACCACAGCCCCUCGGCUGGUGAUACGAGAGUGCACGACAGUUGUGCCUUGAUGACGUAUGAGGGGAUACGUCAGAGUGGAGUAGCGCGAGAGGUUUGUUUACUUCGCUAAGGAUUGAAAUGUUGAGUCGGGAAAGCUGGAUUUGGAAACUGAAUUCUUUUAGCAUUUGUUAACCUAGAAACUGAGGUGCAAUGCUCAAUCGACAGCUAUCCGAUCCGUCCCAACAUAAAUGUGAAAUGUGACAAUUACAUUGGAUUUAAUUUGUGCAUCUGAAUAUUAGUCGAUUUUAAUUUCA